This 253-nucleotide ribosomal RNA is filed under the name uncultured bacterium. RNAcentral describes it as "partial 16S ribosomal RNA". It matches the Rfam family "Bacterial small subunit ribosomal RNA", at positions 524 to 776 of the family's 1533-position model. The record is from RNAcentral.
GACAGAGGGUGCAAACGUUGUUCGGAAUUACUGGGCGUAAAGCGCGUGUAGGCUGCCCUGCAAGUCGGAUGUGAAAGCCCUGGGCUCAACCUAGGAAGUGCACUCGAAACUGCAGGGCUGGAGUCCUGGAGAGGAAGGCGGAAUUCUCGGUGUAGAGGUGAAAUUCGUAGAUAUCGGGAGGAACACCAGUGGCGAAGGCGACUACCUGGCCUGUUCUUGACGCUGAGGCGCGAAAGCUAGGGGAGCAAACGGG